GGCAUCCUUAGCAUGUAUUAGAUCAAAGGAGUGACAAGAAUUAAACAGAAAAAAAAAUCUAAAAAAAUCUAAAUCUCUUUUACAUGGUAUACCCAAAUAUAGCAAGGAAGACUCAUUUGAAAGCUAUUGAAGCAAUCCAGGUUUCAUCCUACUUUGGCCUUGCUGAAGCAACGGAUAUUCUUGUAUACUUCCAUCCUUUAGAAUUUAUUUCUAUGAGUUUUGAGGGAACUUGAUGACUAUUGAUAUCAGAGGUAACUUACCAUGACAAGAACUAUGCUGCCAGAGCUGCUGGGUUUUAUUUUGAGCUUUGUCACUUAUUAAAUAUAUGACCUUGAGAAAAU
RNAcentral lists this long non-coding RNA (341 nucleotides) under Ursus maritimus (polar bear). RNAcentral describes it as "lncRNA (ENSUMAG00000025369.1)". Lineage: Eukaryota; Metazoa; Chordata; Mammalia; Carnivora; Ursidae. The record is from RNAcentral.